CCUACAGGUGGCAGCAGUGAGGAAUAUUGGUCAAUGGGCGCGAGCCUGAACCAGCCACGUCGCGUGAGGGAGGACGGCCCUACGGGUUGUAAACCUCUUUUGCCGGGGAGCAACGGGCGCCACGUGUGGCGUCACUGAGAUUACCCGGAGAAAAAGCAUGGGCUAAUUCCGUUCCAGCAGCCGCGUUCAUACGGAGGAUGCGAGCGGUAUCCGGAUUUAUUGGGUUUACAGGGAGCGUAGAUGGGUUGUUAAGUCAGUUGUGCAAGUUUGCGGCUCAACCGUAAAAUUGCAAUUGAUACUGGCAGCCUUGAGUACAGUUGAGGUAGGCGGAAUUCGUGGUGUAGCGGUGAAAUGCUUAGAUAUCACGAAGAACUCCGAUUGCGAAGGCAGCUUACUAAACUGCCACUGACAUUGAUGCUCGAAAGUGUGGGUAUCAAACAGGAUUAGAUACCCCUGUAGUC
Molecule: ribosomal RNA, 461 nt
Filed under: uncultured bacterium
Lineage: Bacteria
Description: partial 16S ribosomal RNA
Rfam family: Bacterial small subunit ribosomal RNA
Source: RNAcentral